GCGGAGGAGGGGCGCCAGGGCGGCGCGGGCCCGGGGCCACCUGCUGGCCGAGCCGCUGCUCCCCGGGGCGCCGCUUCCGCCUGGCCGAGCGCGGCGCCCCGAGGAGGCGGGAGGCCGCGGCGCAGCGCCCUGGGCCGGGCCCGCCGCGGGGCCUGGGCUCGCGGACCCUUGGUCGCCGCCCGCCCCGGAGCUGGAGCCGCCGCGGCCGCGGCUGCGGGCCGGGAACUUACCCUUUGCCGUCUGCGAGGCCGGCGGAGGUGGAGCGCGGGCUCGGUUCCGGCGGACUCGGUCCGAGGGGAGUUGGGGUGCGGGGGCUGUGCCCCAGGUCGAACGCCGGUGCUCGACGGACGCGGGGCGGGGGCGGGUUUGUGUCCCGCGCCUCCUGGGGGCAGCGCCGACCGCGGGCGCCCCGGAGCGGAACGGAAAGGAAUUCGGCCCGGGGAGAGCGUGCUGAACGCGGCGACACGCCGGACCGAAAGCCCCGGCGGGCGUGCGGAGGGCACGGACGGCCCGGCCCUACGGCCCCCGGCUCGGGGAGACCGGCCACUCCGCGUGGCCCUCACCCCGGAAGCAAAACUGGACCAGGGACUCUUCUUGUUCCAAAUGAAUUUUGGGAUUGUCUUCUCAAGGUCCAUGAAGUAUGCUGCUGGAAUUUCAAGCUUGAAUGUGUCUGGAGUUUUUUCUGCAUCUUCUAAUUUGUUCUACUUUCCUCAGGGGUGAGCAGAAUAAAUGCCUCUGUUUAAUCUGCCAUGAAAACUGGAAACUUCUCUCCGCCUUCCUAAACAGUAGUGUGAUAUGGGGAGGAAGAGAGUGAAAGAGAGGUAUCGCACCUGCAGAGGAAAUUAUCAGUUGGAGAGAGGGGACAAGAUGCUUCCCCCUAAGAUCAGGAACAGGACAAGGCCAUCUGCUCUCACCACUCCUAUGCAACGUUAUCUUGAAAGUCUGAGGUACUGCAAAGACAACACAAUGAAAUAAAAGGUAUGCAGGUUGGGAAGUAAGAAAUAAAACUGUCUUUACUGGCAUCUGACGUGAUUGUCUAUGUAGAAAUUCCAAAAAAAUCAAUAGAAUGAAUACUUGAUCGUAGUAAGGACACAAUAUGAGGUUAAUAUAAAAAAGUCAAUCGCAAUUUUAUAUACCAACAAUGAAGAAGGAAUUUGGAACACACAAAAACAUUUACAUUGGCACUUCAAAGGAAAGAGGUUAGGUAUAAAUCUAACAAAAUGUGAAUAAGCUCUAUAAUAGGAAAACUACAAAGCUCUGAUGAAAGAAGAUAUAAAUGAAGAGAUAUACUUCAUGCAUAAAAAUAGGAUGACAAUGCUGCCAACUGUCAUUUCUGACUCCAUCUAUAGACUCAAUGUGUUCCCAAAGAAUAGCACAGAAAUAUGACCACCAAGCUAUUACCAAACUGGUCUUUAGCAAAAGAGUAAAGGCAAUGCAAUGGAGAAUGGACAGCCUUUUCAACAGAUGGUUCUGGAACAAGUGGACAUCUACACACAAAAAGUCACUGCAGACAUCUUUCACAAGUUAAUGAAAUUAAAUCAGACCUAAAUGUAAAACAAAACUAGUAAACUUCCGAAAGAUAAGAGAAGUGAUCUUGGGUUUGGUGAUAACUUCUCAAAACAACAAAAAAAUUCUCGAAAGAAAAAUAAUGACAAUUGACUUCAUUAAAAUUUUAAAAAAUUGUUCUGGGAAAGACAUACAGAUAAUUAAAUGACAAAAUAUAUGAAGAACUCUUCAAACUCCACGGUCCGAAUUUUUUAAAAGGCAGAGGGGAGACCCAAACAGACUUCUCACCAAAGAAAAACAACUAAAUAAAUAUGUAAAGAGAUGUUCAGCACCAUAUGUCAUUAAGGAAUUACAAAUUAAGUCAGCAAUGAGAUACUUCUACACACUUACAUUACAUAGCUAAAAUCCAAAACAGUGAUAACACCAAAUGUCAGUGGAGAUGUGGAGAUCACAGCACCUUUACAACAGUUUGGCCAUUUCUUACAAAAGUGCAUGUACUCAUGUCAUUCCGCAUGAGUUGAAAUUUCCUGUCCACACAAAAAGACUGCACACAAAUGUUUAUAACAGCUUGAUUAAUAAUUGCCAACACUUGAAAGCAACAGAGGGGUUCUUUGGUAGGUGGAUGGAUAAACUGACUGUGGUGUAGCCAUGCAGUGUAAUAUUAUUAAGUGAUGAAGUGAUCUAUAAGGACACAAAAAAGACUUAGUAUAACUUUUUUUUUUAAUUUUUUUUUUAUUUUUGGUACCAGGGAUUGAACUCGGUAUCUUGCACUUGCAAGGCAGGCAGCAGAACCACUGAGCUAAAUCCCUGGCCCGACUUAGUAUAACUUUAAAUGCAUAUUGGGGAGAGAAAGAAGCCAAUCCUCAAAGGCCACACGUAGUAUAGUCCCAUCUCUCUGACAUUCUGGAAAAGGCAAAAGUACAAAGUAGUAAAAAGAUCUGUGGUUGUUGAGAGUCACAGGGAGGGAAAGAUGGCUGAGUAGGUGGAGCGCUGGGGAAUUUUAGGACAGUGAGACUGCUGUGUGAUGCCCUCACGAUGAGUGCACAACACUGUACCAUUGUAAGGCCCUUAAAAUGUACAGCACUCUGAUGUAAACUACAGUCUAGUUAAUAAUAAUGUGUCUGUAUCGGCUCACCCAUGAUAACAAGUGCACUAUAAUAAUGCAAGGUGUUACUAGAGGAAAUGUAGAGAGUGAGUUCUCUAAAAUGAUAGUUUAUUGAACACAAUUUUUAAUUAAAAGGAGAAAUUUAAAAAUCAAUUCUUUGAGGAAUUUGUUGCAGUGAUAGAAAUGUCUGUAUCUGGACUAGAUUGGUGGUCAUACGUGCGUAUACAUUCAUCAAAACUUAUUUAUACUAAAAAAACUGGUUUAUAUUCUUAGACAUUCCACUGUAAGUUUGGGUUUCCUUCUG
Long non-coding RNA from Heterocephalus glaber (naked mole-rat), 2915 nucleotides. NCBI's taxonomy places the organism in Eukaryota, Metazoa, Chordata, Mammalia, Rodentia, Bathyergidae. The record is from Ensembl.